GGUAGAUUUCGUGCCAGCCACCGCCGGUCAUACGAAAGACCCCAAGUUAAUAUUCUACCGGCGUCAAGAGUGCUUAAAUAUUUAUCAAAUAGAGCUAAGACUAGUCUUCGCUGUAAAAAGCCAAAGCCAAAGUAAAAAUCAAUAACGAAAGUAACUCUAAUUUUUGUAGCACUAAAGCUAUUACCUAAACUGGGAUUAGAUACCCCACUAUAAUUAGCCAUAAACAUAAGUAGUUCAUAACAUUACUACUCGCCAGAGAACUACAAGCCACCGCUUAAAACUCAAAGGACUUGGCGGUGCUUUAUAUCCACCUAGAGGAGCCUGUUCCAUAACCGAUGAUCCCCGAUUUACCUCACCACUCCUUGCUAAUUCAGCCUAUAUACCGCCAUCUUCAGUUAACCCUAAAAAGGAAAUAAAGUAAGCCUAAUCAGUAUUACUAAAGAAGUUAGGUCAAGGUGUAGCCCAUGGAGUGGAGCGAAAUGGGCUACAUUUUCUAUUACUAGAACAUUACGAAACUGUACGUGAAAUCCGUAGAAUAAAGGAGGAUUUAGUAGUAAAUUAAAACUAGAGUGUUUAAUUGAAUAGAGCAAUGAAGCACGCACACACCGCCCGUCACCCUCCUCAAUUUCUCAACAAUUAAAAGUACAUAACACUAAUUACAAAAGAUUGAGAGGAGACAAGUCGUAACAAGGUAAGUGUACUGGAAAGUGCACUUGGAAAAAUCAAAAUAUAGCUUAAAAAAAGCAUCUGACUUACACUCAGAAGAUUUCACACUCUAUGAAUAUUUUGAACCAUACCUAGCCUAACAAAUCAUAAAAUUUACUAUAUUACCUUCAUGUAAACUAAAUCAUUUACUAACUAUAUUAGUAUAGGCGAUAGAAAAUUUAAUUUAGCGCUAUAGAAAUAGUACCGUAAGGGAAUGAUGAAAGAUAAACCUAAGUAUAAAAAAGCAAAGAUUCAACCUUAUACCUUUUGCAUAAUGAGCUAACUAGAAAACACCUGACAAAGAGAACUUAAGCCAGAGACCCCGAAAUCAGACGAGCUACCUUAGAACAGCCUACCACAGGGCCAACUCAUCUAUGUGGCAAAAUAGUGAGAAGAUUUUAAGGUAGAGGUGAAAAGCCUAACGAGCCUGAUGAUAGCUGGUUGUCCAAGAAAGAAUCUUAGUUCACCUUAAAACUUACCUGCAUUUCCAAAAUAAAAUUACUGUAAGUUUUAAAGCUAACCUAAAGAGGUACAGCUCUUUAGAUAGAGGAUACAACCUAAAGUAAAGAGUAAUUGAUACAAUAUUCAUAGUAGGCCUAAAAGCAGCCAUCAAUUAAGAAAGCGUUAAAGCUCAACACUAUUAUAUAAUUUAUUCCAAUAAUAUAUUACAUCUCUUACAAAAUAACUGGACCAAUCUAAUUAAUAUUAGAUGAAAUACUGUUAGUAUAAGUAAUAAGAAAAAUUUUCUCCUAGCACAAGUGUAUAACAGAACGAAUAAAUCGCUGAUAGUUAACAAUCAUACAUUUCCACCUAAACUACUAGAACCAAUGUUACUAAUUUAUUGUUAGCCCAACACAGGAGUGCAAACUAGGAAAGAUUAAUAAAUGUAAAAGGAACUCGGCAAACUUAAACCCCGCCUGUUUACCAAAAACAUCACCUCUAGCAUUACCAGUAUUAGAGGCACCGCCUGCCCAGUGACGCAAGUUAAACGGCCGCGGUAUCCUGACCGUGCAAAGGUAGCAUAAUAAUUUGUUCCUUAAUUAGGGACUUGUAUGAAUGGCAUCACGAGGGUUUAACUGUCUCUUACAUUCGAUCAAUGAAAUUGACCUUUCCGUGAAGAGGCGGAAAUAACACAAUAAGACGAGAAGACCCUAUGGAGCUUAAAUUAAUAUUCCAACUUAAACAACUUCAAAUCUAAUCGAUGUAAAAUCUGCAACCACUGGAAUAAACAUUUUGGUUGGGGUGACCUCGGAGCAUAAAAAAACCUCCGAAGGACUAACAUUAAGACCAACUAGUCCAAAUUAUAAAUGUCCAAAUAUUGACCCAGAAAUAAUUCUGAUCAAUGAACCAAGUUACCCUAGGGAUAACAGCGCAAUCUGUUAAAGAGUUCAUUGA
Molecule: non-coding RNA, 2100 nt
Organism: Dipodomys ordii (Ord's kangaroo rat)
Lineage: Eukaryota; Metazoa; Chordata; Mammalia; Rodentia; Heteromyidae
Source: Rfam